GAUCCUGGCUCAGGAUGAACGCUAGCUACAGGCUUAACACAUGCAAGUCGAGGGGCAGCAUUUUUAUAGCAAUAUAAAAGAUGGCGACCGGCGCACGGGUGAGUAACACGUAUCCAACCUGCCGAUAACUCGGGGAUAACCCUUCGAAAGAAGGCCUAAUACCCGAUGGCAUAUCCCUUCCGCCUGGUGGGGAUAUUAAAGAAUUUCGGUCAUCGAUGGGGAUGCGUUCCAUUAGGUUGUUGGCGGGGUAACGG
RNAcentral lists this ribosomal RNA (254 nucleotides) under uncultured bacterium. Its description in RNAcentral is "partial 16S ribosomal RNA". It matches the Rfam family "Bacterial small subunit ribosomal RNA", at positions 15 to 263 of the family's 1533-position model. The record is from RNAcentral.